UUGUACCUACGGGGGGCAGCAGUGAGGAAUAUUGGUCAAUGGGCGGGAGCCUGAACCAGCCAAGUCGCGUGAGGGAAGACGGUCCUAUGGAUUGUAAACCUCUUUUGUCGGGGAGCAAAGAGGCCACGUGUGGUCAAAAGCGAGAGUACCCGAAGAAAAAGCAUCGGCUAACUCCGUGCCAGCAGCCGCGGUAAUACGGAGGAUGCGAGCGUUAUCCGGAUUUAUUGGGUUUAAAGGGUGUGCAGGCGGCGAGUUAAGUCAGCGGUAAAAUUUCGGGGCUCAACCCCGACGAGCCGUUGCAACUG
Molecule: ribosomal RNA, 305 nt
Filed under: uncultured bacterium
Lineage: Bacteria
Description: bacterial SSU rRNA
Rfam family: Bacterial small subunit ribosomal RNA
Source: RNAcentral